GAUGAACGCUAGCUACAGGCUUAACACAUGCAAGUCGAGGGGAAACGACAUCGAAAGCUUGCUUUUGAUGGGCGUCGACCGGCGCACGGGUGAGUAACGCGUAUCCAACCUGCCCAUCACUUGGGAAUAACCUUGCGAAAGUAAGACUAAUACCCAAUGAUAUCCCACGAAGGCAUCGGAAUGGGAUUAAAGAUUUAUCGGUGAUGGAUGGGGAUGCGUCUGAUUAGCUUGUUGGCGGGGUAACGGCCCACCAAGGCAACGAUCAGUAGGGGUUCUGAGAGGAAGGUCCCCCACAUUGGAACUGAGACACGGUCCAAACUCCUACGGGAGGCAGCAGUGAGGAAUAGUGGGCAAUGGGCGAGAGCCUGAACCAGCCAAGUAGCGUGCAGGAAGACGGCCCUAUGGGUUGUAAACUGCUUUUAUAAGGGAAUAAAGUGGGUCACGUGUGACUUUUUGCAUGUACCUUAUGAAUAAGGACCGGCUAAUUCCGUG
This 492-nucleotide ribosomal RNA is filed under the name uncultured bacterium. RNAcentral's name for it is "partial 16S ribosomal RNA". It matches the Rfam family "Bacterial small subunit ribosomal RNA", at positions 28 to 507 of the family's 1533-position model. The record is from RNAcentral.